GCUCAACCGAAGAAGUGCAUCGGAAACUGGGAAACUUGAGUGCAGAAGAGGACAGUGGAACUCCAUGUGUAGCGGUGAAAUGCGUAGAUAUAUGGAAGAACACCAGUGGCGAAGGCGGCUGUCUGGUCUGUAACUGACGCUGAGGCUCGAAAGUAUGGGUAGCAAACAGGAUUAGGUACCCUGGUAGUCCAUACCGUAAACGAUGAAUGCUAAGUGUUGGAGGGUUUCCGCCCUUCAGUGCUGCAGCUAACGCAUUAAGCAUUCCGCCUGGGGAGUACGGCCGCAUGGCUGAAACUCAAAGGAACUGACGGGGGCCCGCACAAGCGGUGGAGCAUGUGGUUUAAUUCGAAGCUACGCGAAGAACCUUACCAGGUCUUGACAUACUAUGCAAAUCUAAGAGAUUAGACGUUCCCUUCGGGGACAUGGAUACAGGUGGUGCAUGGUUGUCGUCAGCUCGUGUCGUGAGAUGUUGGGUUAAGUCCCGCAACGAGCGCAACCCUUAUUAUCAGUUGCCAGCAUUAAGUUGGGCACUCUGGUGAGACUGCCGGUGACAAACCGGAGAAAGGUGGGGAUGACGUCAAAUCAUCAUGCCCCUUAUGACCUGGGCUACACACGUGCUACAAUGGAUGGUACAACG
RNAcentral lists this ribosomal RNA (637 nucleotides) under uncultured bacterium. RNAcentral's name for it is "bacterial SSU rRNA". It matches the Rfam family "Bacterial small subunit ribosomal RNA", at positions 607 to 1244 of the family's 1533-position model. The record is from RNAcentral.